This 30-nucleotide non-coding RNA is filed under the name Homo sapiens (human). Lineage: Eukaryota; Metazoa; Chordata; Mammalia; Primates; Hominidae. The record is from RNAcentral.
AUAACUGACGAAGACUACUCCUGUCUGAUU